Molecule: ribosomal RNA, 1536 nt
Filed under: uncultured organism
Description: bacterial SSU rRNA
Rfam family: Bacterial small subunit ribosomal RNA
Source: RNAcentral
AGAGUUUGAUCCUGGCUCAGAUCGAACGCUGGCGGCGUGGCUAAAACAUGCAAGUCGCACGGAAAGGCGGCUUCUGACCCUUCGGGUGACGAAGCUGUACUCGAGUGGCGAAAGGGCGAGGAAUACAUGGAUAACGUGCCUUUGGCAUGGGGACAGCUGAGGGAAACUUCAGGUAAUACCCAAUGAGACCACAGUGCUUUCGGGCACAGGGGUCAAAGAUGGGGCUCCUUCGGGACCUAUCGGCCAUAGAGCGGUCCAUGUCCUAUCAGCUUGUUGGUGAGGUAAUGGCUCACCAAGGCGACGACGGGUACCGGGACUGAGAGGUUGACCCGGCGCAUCGGGACUGAGACACUGCCCGGACUCCUACGGGAGGCUGCAGUAACGAAUAUUGGUCAAUGGGCGAAAGCCUGAACCAGCGACGCCGCGUGUGGGAGGAAGCCCUUCGGGGUGUAAACCACUGUCAGGGAUUACCAAGCAAUGGAGGCUAAUACCCUCCUGCGUUGAGGCGUCCCAGAGGAAGUCACGGCUAACUUCGUGCCAGCAGCCGCGGUAAUACGAAGGUGGCGAGCGUUGCUCGGAAUCACUGGGCUUAAAGAGCACGUAGGCGGACUGCCAAGCGUCUUGUGAAAUCCCCCGGCUCAACCGGGGAAUUGCUGGGCGAACUGGUAGUCUUGAGGCAAGUAGGGGCAGAUGGAACUCUUGGUGGAGCGGUGGAAUGCGUAGAUAUCAAGAGGAACGCCAGAGGCGAAGGCGAUCUGCUGGGCUUGACCUGACGCUGAGGUGCGAAAGCCAGGGGAGCAAACGGGAUUAGAUACCCCGGUAGUCCUGGCCAUAAACGAUGUCCACUAGAUCGGUGAACUUCUGACAGUGUGCCGGUCGAAACAAAAGCGUUAAGUGGACCGCCUGGGGAGUACGGUCGCAAGGCUAAAACUCAAAGGAAUUGACGGGGGCUCACACAAGCGGUGGAGCAUGUUGCUUAAUUCGAUGCAACGCGAAGAACCUUACCUGGGUUUGACAUGGAGGCGAAAGAUCCUGGAGACAGGAUCCCUUCCUUCGGGAACGCCUCACACAGGUGCUGCAUGGUUGUCGUCAGCUCGUGUCGUGAGAUGUUGGGUUAAGUCCCGCAACGAGCGCAACCCCUGUCCUUAGUUGCCAUCAGGUCAUGCUGGGAACUCUAAGGAGACUGCCUGGUUUAACCAGGAGGAAGGUGGGGAUGACGUCAAAUCAUCAUGGCCCUUACGCCCAGGGCUAGACACGUACUACAAUGGCCGGUACAGAGGGCUGCGAACUCGUGAGAGUAAGCCAAUCCCUUAAAACCGGUCUCAGUUCGGAUUGGAGUCUGCAACUCGACUCCAUGAAGGUGGAAUCGCUAGUAAUCGCGGAUCAGCAUGCCGCGGUGAAUACGUUCCCGGGCCUUGUACACACCGCCCGUCAAGCCAUGAAAGACGGCAGUGCCCGAAGUCGCUUUCCCAACCCUCGGGAGGGAUGCGCCGAAGGUAAGGCCGUUAAUUGGGGCUAAGUCGUAACAAGGUAACC